UUUUUGUGUGUGAAAUUAGGUAGUGGCAGUGGAACACUAUAUUAAUCAGGUUUCCACUGCCACUACCUAAUUUCUCAGAUGGAAA
Molecule: microRNA precursor, 85 nt
Organism: Homo sapiens (human)
Lineage: Eukaryota; Metazoa; Chordata; Mammalia; Primates; Hominidae
Source: Ensembl